Molecule: ribosomal RNA, 519 nt
Filed under: uncultured eukaryote
Lineage: Eukaryota
Description: bacterial SSU rRNA
Rfam family: Eukaryotic small subunit ribosomal RNA
Source: RNAcentral
GAAGGGAAACUCAACCAGUGCAGCCAGCGGAUUAAUUUGUGAUUGACGGGUCAUUCUACCUGGCUCGGACACUGUGCGGAACCACAGAUUGAGAGCUCUUUCUUGAUUGGUGGGUGGUGGUGCAUGGACGUUCCUAUAUGGUGGAAUGAUUUGUCUCGUUUAUUCCGAUCACGCACGAGACUCUCGCCUACUAAAUAGAUCGUCGGCUUACAAACUCCAGCGAGACUUCUUAGAGGGACAGGCGUGUGAUUCAACCGCACGAAACAGAGCAAUAACAGGUCUGUGAUGCCCUUAGAUGUCCGGGGCCGCACGCGCGCUACACUAAAUGAUCAGCGUGCUAUUUCACCCUACUCUGACAAGAGUGGGGAACCCAAUGAACCCUUCUUCGUGAUUGGGAUAGGGGAUUGUAAUUAUUCCCCUUGAACGAGGGAAUUCCCAGUAAGCGCGAGUCAUAAGCUCGCGUUGAUUACGUCCCUGCCCUUUGUACACACCGCCCGUCGCACUACCGAUUGAAUGUUU